RNAcentral lists this ribosomal RNA (1843 nucleotides) under Escherichia coli. Its description in RNAcentral is "partial 23S ribosomal RNA". It matches the Rfam family "Bacterial large subunit ribosomal RNA", at positions 1 to 1862 of the family's 2925-position model. Lineage: Bacteria; Pseudomonadati; Pseudomonadota; Gammaproteobacteria; Enterobacterales; Enterobacteriaceae. The record is from RNAcentral.
GGGUUGUGAGGUUAAGCGACUAAGCGUACACGGUGGAUGCCCUGGCAGUCAGAGGCGAUGAAGGACGUGCUAAUCUGCGAUAAGCGUCGGUGAGGUGAUAUGAACCGUUAUAACCGGCGAUUUCCGAAUGGGGAAACCCAGUGUGUUUCGACACACUAUCAUUAACUGAAUCCAUAGGUUAAUGAGGCGAACCGGGGGAACUGAAACAUCUAAGUACCCCGAGGAAAAGAAAUCAACCGAGAUUCCCCCAGUAGCGGCGAGCGAACGGGGAGGAGCCCAGAGCCUGAAUCAGUGUGUGUGUUAGUGGAAGCGUCUGGAAAGGCGCGCGAUACAGGGUGACAGCCCCGUACACAAAAAUGCACAUAUUGUGAGCUCGAUGAGUAGGGCGGGACACGUGGUAUCCUGUCUGAAUAUGGGGGGACCAUCCUCCAAGGCUAAAUACUCCUGACUGACCGAUAGUGAACCAGUACCGUGAGGGAAAGGCGAAAAGAACCCCGGCGAGGGGAGUGAAAAAGAACCUGAAACCGUGUACGUACAAGCAGUGGGAGCCUCUUAAUGGGGUGACUGCGUACCUUUUGUAUAAUGGGUCAGCGACUUAUAUUCUGUAGCAAGGUUAACCGAAUAGGGGAGCCGAAGGGAAACCGAGUCUUAACUGGGCGUUAAGUUGCAGGGUAUAGACCCGAAACCCGGUGAUCUAGCCAUGGGCAGGUUGAAGGUUGGGUAACACUAACUGGAGGACCGAACCGACUAAUGUUGAAAAAUUAGCGGAUGACUUGUGGCUGGGGGUGAAAGGCCAAUCAAACCGGGAGAUAGCUGGUUCUCCCCGAAAGCUAUUUAGGUAGCGCCUCGUGAAUUCAUCUCCGGGGGUAGAGCACUGUUUCGGCAAGGGGGUCAUCCCGACUUACCAACCCGAUGCAAACUGCGAAUACCGGAGAAUGUUAUCACGGGAGACACACGGCGGGUGCUAACGUCCGUCGUGAAGAGGGAAACAACCCAGACCGCCAGCUAAGGUCCCAAAGUCAUGGUUAAGUGGGAAACGAUGUGGGAAGGCCCAGACAGCCAGGAUGUUGGCUUAGAAGCAGCCAUCAUUUAAAGAAAGCGUAAUAGCUCACUGGUCGAGUCGGCCUGCGCGGAAGAUGUAACGGGGCUAAACCAUGCACCGAAGCUGCGGCAGCGACACUAUGUGUUGUUGGGUAGGGGAGCGUUCUGUAAGCCUGUGAAGGUGUACUGUGAGGUAUGCUGGAGGUAUCAGAAGUGCGAAUGCUGACAUAAGUAACGAUAAAGCGGGUGAAAAGCCCGCUCGCCGGAAGACCAAGGGUUCCUGUCCAACGUUAAUCGGGGCAGGGUGAGUCGACCCCUAAGGCGAGGCCGAAAGGCGUAGUCGAUGGGAAACAGGUUAAUAUUCCUGUACUUGGUGUUACUGCGAAGGGGGGACGGAGAAGGCUAUGUUGGCCGGGCGACGGUUGUCCCGGUUUAAGCGUGUAGGCUGGUUUUCCAGGCAAAUCCGGAAAAUCAAGGCUGAGGCGUGAUGACGAGGCACUACGGUGCUGAAGCGACAAAUGCCCUGCUUCCAGGAAAAGCCUCUAAGCAUCAGGUAACAUCAAAUCGUACCCCAAACCGACACAGGUGGUCAGGUAGAGAAUACCAAGGCGCUUGAGAGAACUCGGGUGAAGGAACUAGGCAAAAUGGUGCCGUAACUUCGGGAGAAGGCACGCUGAUAUGUAGGUGAAGCGACUUGCUCGUGGAGCUGAAAUCAGUCGAAGAUACCAGCUGGCUGCAACUGUUUAUUAAAAACACAGCACUGUGCAAACACGAAAGUGGACGUAUACGGUGUGACGCCUGC